This 430-nucleotide ribosomal RNA is filed under the name uncultured bacterium. RNAcentral describes it as "bacterial SSU rRNA". It matches the Rfam family "Bacterial small subunit ribosomal RNA", at positions 355 to 775 of the family's 1533-position model. The record is from RNAcentral.
UGAGGAAUAUUGCGCAAUGGGGGGCAACCCUGACGCAGCAACGCCGCGUGAGUGAGGAAGGUUUUCGGACCGUAAAGCUCUGUCGAGCGGGAAGAAAUGCAUGGUGGCUAAUAUCCAUCAUGCUUGACGGUACUGCUAAAGGAAGCACCGGCUAACUCCGUGCCAGCAGCCGCGGUAAUACGGGGGGUGCGAGCGUUGUUCGGAAUUAUUGGGCGUAAAGAGCGUGUAGGCGGCCGAAUAAGUCAGAUGUGAAAUCCCUGGGCUUAACCCAGGACGUGCAUUUGAAACUAUUCGGCUAGAGUAGGGGAGAGGAAAGUGGAAUUCCUGGUGUAGAGGUGAAAUUCGUAGAUAUCAGGAGGAACACCGGUGGCGAAGGCGACUUUCUGGCCCUAUACUGACGCUGAGAUGCGAGAGCGUGGGUAGCAAACAG